This 424-nucleotide ribosomal RNA is filed under the name uncultured bacterium. Its description in RNAcentral is "bacterial SSU rRNA". It matches the Rfam family "Bacterial small subunit ribosomal RNA", at positions 202 to 622 of the family's 1533-position model. The record is from RNAcentral.
AAGACCUUUGCGCUUUUGGAGCGGCCGAUGUCUGAUUAGCUAGUUGGUGGGGUAAUGGCCUACCAAAGCUUCGAUCAGUAGCUGGUCUGAGAGGACGGCCAGCCACACUGGGACUGAGACACGGCCCAGACUCCUACGGGAGGCAGCAGUGGGGAAUUUUGGACAAUGGGCGCAAGCCUGAUCCAGCCAUGCCGCGUGAGUGAAGAAGGCCUUCGGGUUGUAAAGCUCUUUCAGCCGGGAAGAAAAGGUUGCGAUUAAUAAUCGCAAUUGAUGACGGUACCGGAAGAAGAAGCACCGGCUAACUACGUGCCAGCAGCCGCGGUAAUACGUAGGGUGCGAGCGUUAAUCGGAAUUACUGGGCGUAAAGGGUGCGCAGGCGGUUUUGUAAGUCAGAUGUGAAAUCCCCGGGCUUAACCUGGGAACU